RNAcentral lists this ribosomal RNA (497 nucleotides) under uncultured bacterium. Its description in RNAcentral is "partial 16S ribosomal RNA". It matches the Rfam family "Bacterial small subunit ribosomal RNA", at positions 28 to 507 of the family's 1533-position model. The record is from RNAcentral.
GAUGAACGCUGGCGGCGUGCCUAAUACAUGCAAGUCGAGCGAACAGACGAGGAGCUUGCUCCUCUGACGUUAGCGGCGGAUGGGUCAGUAACACGUGGAUAACCUACCUAUAAGACUGGGAUAACUUCGGGAAACCGGAGCUAAUACCGGAUAAUAUAUUGAACCGCAUGGUUCAAUAGUGAAAGACGGUUUUGCUGUUACUUAUAGAUGGAUCCGCGCCGCAUUAGCUAGUUGGUAAGGUAACGGCUUACCAAGGCAACGAUGCGUAGCCGACCUGAGAGGAUGAUCGGCCACACUGGAACUGAGACACGGUCCAGACUCCUACGGGAGGCAGCAGUAGGGAAUCUUCCACAAUGGGCGAAAGCCUGACGGAGCAACGCCGCGUGAGUGAUGAAGGUCUUCGGAUCGUAAAACUCUGUUAUUAGGGAAGAACAAGUUUGUAAGUAACUAUGCACGUCUUGACGGUACCUAAUCAGAAAGCCACGGCUAACUACGUG